Molecule: ribosomal RNA, 526 nt
Filed under: uncultured bacterium
Lineage: Bacteria
Description: bacterial SSU rRNA
Rfam family: Bacterial small subunit ribosomal RNA
Source: RNAcentral
AUUGAACGCUGGCGGCAUGCCUUACACAUGCAAGUCGAACGGUAACAGGUCUUCGGAUGCUGACGAGUGGCGAACGGGUGAGUAAUACAUCGGAACGUGCCCGAUCGUGGGGGAUAACGGAGCGAAAGCUUUGCUAAUACCGCAUACGAUCUACGGAUGAAAGCAGGGGACCGCAAGGCCUUGCGCGGACGGAGCGGCCGAUGGCAGAUUAGGUAGUUGGUGGGAUAAAAGCUUACCAAGCCGACGAUCUGUAGCUGGUCUGAGAGGACGACCAGCCACACUGGGACUGAGACACGGCCCAGACUCCUACGGGAGGCAGCAGUGGGGAAUUUUGGACAAUGGGCGCAAGCCUGAUCCAGCCAUGCCGCGUGCAGGAUGAAGGCCUCGGUUGUAACUAGCUUUGUUACGGUAACGAAAGAACGUACUUUACUUAAUAAAGAAGGGUACCGACGUGACGGUACCGGUAACGUAAGUAAAGACGAACCGGCCGUAACUAACCGUAGUCCACGACACGACCGCGGUAAAC